UACGUAGGUGGCAAGCGUUGUCCGGAUUUACUGGGUGUAAAGGGCGUGUAGCCGGGCUGACAAGUCAGAUGUGAAAUCCGUGGGCUCAACCCCCGAACUGCAUUUGAAACUGUUGGUCUUGAGUAUCGGAGAGGCAGGCGGAAUUCCUAGUGUAGCGGUGAAAUGCGUAGAUACUAGGAGGAACACCAGUGGCGAAGGCGGCCUGCUGGACGACAACUGACGGUGAGGCGCGAAAGCGUGGGGAGCAAACAGG
Molecule: ribosomal RNA, 253 nt
Filed under: uncultured bacterium
Lineage: Bacteria
Description: partial 16S ribosomal RNA
Rfam family: Bacterial small subunit ribosomal RNA
Source: RNAcentral